AGUGGUGGGGUGACUGCGUACCUUUUGUAUAAUGGGUCAGCGACUUAUAUUCUGUAGCAAGGUUAACCGAAUAGGGGAGCCGCAGGGAAACCGAGUCUUAAUUGGGCGUUAAGUUGCAGGGUAUAGACCCGAAACCCGGUGAUCUAGCCAUGGGCAGGUUGAAGGUUGGGUAACACUAACUGGAGGACCGAACCGACUAAUGUUGAAAAAUUAGCGGAUGACCUGUGGCUGGGGGUGAAAGGCCAAUCAAACCGGGAGAUAGCUGGUUCUCCCCGAAAGCUAUUUAGGUAGCGCCUCGUGAAUUCAUCUCCGGGGGUAGAGCACUGUUUCGGCUAGGGGGCCAUCCCGGCUUACCAACCCGAUGCAAACUGCGAAUACCGGAGAAUGUUAUCACGGGAGACACACGGCGGGUGCUAACGUCCGUCGUGAAGAGGGAAACAACCCAGACCGCCAGCUAAGGUCCCAAAGUCAUGGUUAAGUGGGAAACGAUGUGGGAAGGCCCAGACAGCCAGGAUGUUGGCUUAGAAGCAGCCAUCAUUUAAAGAAAGCGUAAUAGCUCACUGGUCGAGUCGGCCUGCGCGGAAGAUGUAACGGGGCUAAACCAUGCACCGAAGCUGCGGCAGCGACGCUGAUGCGUUGUUGGGUAGGGGAGCGUUCUGUAAGCCUGUGAAGGUGUGUCGUGAGGCAUGCUGGAGGUAUCAGAAGUGCGAAUGCUGACAUAAGUAAC
Molecule: ribosomal RNA, 727 nt
Filed under: Salmonella enterica
Lineage: Bacteria; Pseudomonadati; Pseudomonadota; Gammaproteobacteria; Enterobacterales; Enterobacteriaceae
Description: partial 23S ribosomal RNA
Rfam family: Bacterial large subunit ribosomal RNA
Source: RNAcentral